AUUGAACGCUGGCGGCAGGCCUAACACAUGCAAGUCGAGCGGAUGAAGGGAGCUUGCUCCUGGAUUCAGCGGCGGACGGGUGAGUAAUGCCUAGGAAUCUGCCUGGUAGUGGGGGAUAACGUCCGGAAACGGGCGCUAAUACCGCAUACGUCCUGAGGGAGAAAGUGGGGGAUCUUCGGACCUCACGCUAUCAGAUGAGCCUAGGUCGGAUUAGCUAGUUGGUGGGGUAAAGGCCUACCAAGGCGACGAUCCGUAACUGGUCUGAGAGGAUGAUCAGUCACACUGGAACUGGGACACGGUCCAGACUCCUACGGGAGGCAGCAGUGGGGAAUAUUGGACAAUGGGCGAAAGCCUGAUCCAGCCAUGCCGCGUGUGUGAAGAAGGUCUUCGGAUUGCAAAGCACUUUAAGUUGGGAGGAAGGGCAGUAAGUUAAUACCUUGCUGUUUUGACGUUACCAACAGAAUAAGCACCGGCUAACUUCGUG
RNAcentral lists this ribosomal RNA (484 nucleotides) under uncultured bacterium. RNAcentral's name for it is "partial 16S ribosomal RNA". It matches the Rfam family "Bacterial small subunit ribosomal RNA", at positions 30 to 507 of the family's 1533-position model. The record is from RNAcentral.